GACGAAGGGGGCUAGCGUUGUUCGGAAUUACUGGGCGUAAAGCGUGUGUAGGCGGUUUUCCAAGUCAGGCGUGAAAGCCUUGAGCUCAACUCAAGAAAUGCGCUUGUUACUGGAUGACUAGAGGACCGGAGAGGAUAGUGGAAUUCCCAGUGUAGUGGUGAAAUACGUAGAGAUUGGGAAGAACACCAGUGGCGAAGGCGGCUAUCUGGACGGUUACUGACGCUAAGACUCGAAAGCGUGGGGAGCAAACAGG
RNAcentral lists this ribosomal RNA (253 nucleotides) under uncultured bacterium. RNAcentral's name for it is "partial 16S ribosomal RNA". It matches the Rfam family "Bacterial small subunit ribosomal RNA", at positions 524 to 776 of the family's 1533-position model. The record is from RNAcentral.